CCUACGGGGGGCAGCAGUGAGGAAUAUUGGUCAAUGGACGAGAGUCUGAACCAGCCAAGUAGCGUGAAGGAUGACUGCCCUAUGGGUUGUAAACUUCUUUUAUAAAGGAAUAAAACGAGGCACGUGUGCCUUUUUGCAUGUACUUUAUGAAUAAGGAUCGGCUAACUCCGUGCCAGCAGCCGCGGUAAUACGGAGGCUCCGAGCGUUAUCCGGAUGUAUUGGGUUUAAAGGGAGCGUAGAUGGGUUGUUAAGUCAGUUGUGAAAGUUUGCGGCUCAACCGUAAAAUUGCAAUUGAUACUGGCAGUCUUGAGUACAGUUGAGGUAGGCGGAAUUCGUGGUGUAGCGGUGAAAUGCUUAGAUAUCACGAAGAACCCCGAUUGCGAAGGCAGCUUACUAAACUGUGACUGACAUUGAUGCUCGAAAGUGUGGGUAUCAAACAGGAUUAGAUACACGAGUAGUC
RNAcentral lists this ribosomal RNA (460 nucleotides) under uncultured bacterium. RNAcentral's name for it is "partial 16S ribosomal RNA". It matches the Rfam family "Bacterial small subunit ribosomal RNA", at positions 338 to 795 of the family's 1533-position model. The record is from RNAcentral.